CUGUCGCACCACGAGGCGCUGUCU
This 24-nucleotide non-coding RNA is filed under the name Arabidopsis thaliana (thale cress). The record is from RNAcentral. Lineage: Eukaryota; Viridiplantae; Streptophyta; Magnoliopsida; Brassicales; Brassicaceae.